UGGGGAAUAUUGGACAAUGGGCGCAAGCCUGAUCCAGCCAUGCCGCGUGUGUGAAGAAGGCCUUUUGGUUGUAAAGCACUUUAAGCGAGGAGGAGGCUACUGAGAUUAAUACUCUUGGAUAGUGGACGUUACUCGCAGAAUAAGCACCGGCUAACUCUGUGCCAGCAGCCGCGGUAAUACAGAGGGUGCGAGCGUUAAUCGGAUUUACUGGGCGUAAAGCGUGCGUAGGCGGCUUCUUAAGUCGGAUGUGAAAUCCCUGAGCUUAACUUAGGAAUUGCAUUCGAUGCUGGGAAGCUAGAGUAUGGGAGAGGAUGGUAGAAUUCCAGGUGUAGCGGUGAAAUGCGUAGAGAUCUGGAGGAAUACCGAUGGCGAAGGCAGCCAUCUGGCCUAAUACUGACGCUGGGGUACGAAAGCAUGGGGAGCAAACAGG
Molecule: ribosomal RNA, 430 nt
Filed under: bacterium
Lineage: Bacteria
Description: partial 16S ribosomal RNA
Rfam family: Bacterial small subunit ribosomal RNA
Source: RNAcentral